This 478-nucleotide small RNA is filed under the name Arabidopsis thaliana (thale cress). Its description in RNAcentral is "ATSL036490". The record is from RNAcentral. Lineage: Eukaryota; Viridiplantae; Streptophyta; Magnoliopsida; Brassicales; Brassicaceae.
AGAGAAACUUGAUAUAAGUGUUGUCUAAACACUUCUUAUUAUAAUUAGUCAAAUGCAUUGGAUUGUGACACAUUUUGACCAUAAAAACACUAACAAAACUGUUUACUGCUUCUAAGCAAUUUUUUGUUGGUUUAAGCCUCUUUUGGGAGAAAAUAGGUGUUAGUGUUGUAUGAACACUCCUAAUCCAUCUCUAACUGUUAAAAUUAGUCAAAUGCAUUAGAUUGUGACACAUUUUGACCAUAGAAACACAAACAAAGCCAUUUACUGAUUCUAAGCAAUUUUUUGUUGGUUUUAUCCUCUUUUGAGAGAAACUUGAUAUAAGUGUUGUCUAAACACUUCUUAUCCAUAUUUAACCCUUAAUAUAAGUGUCAAAUGCAUUGGAUUGUGACACAAUUUGAGAGAAACUUGAUAUAAGUGUCAAAUGCAUUGGAUUGUGACACAAUUUGACCAUAAAAACACUUACAAAACUGUUUCCUGU